RNAcentral lists this ribosomal RNA (253 nucleotides) under uncultured bacterium. RNAcentral describes it as "partial 16S ribosomal RNA". It matches the Rfam family "Bacterial small subunit ribosomal RNA", at positions 524 to 776 of the family's 1533-position model. The record is from RNAcentral.
UACGAAGGGGGCUAGCGUUGUUCGGAAUUACUGGGCGUAAAGAGCGCGCAGGCGGCUGGUCAAGUCCGAUGUGAAAUCUCCCGGCUCAACUGGGAAACUGCAUCGGAAACUGAUCGGCUUGAAGGUGGGAGAGGGUAGUGGAAUUCCCGGUGUAGUGGUGAAAUGCGUAGAUAUCGGGAGGAACACCAGUGGCGAAGGCGACUACCUGGCCCAUUCUUGACGCUGAGGCGCGAAAGCUAGGGGAGCGAACGGG